GCGGACGUGGUGGAACUGGUAGACACACAGGACUUAAAAUCCUGAGACGGCAACGUCGUGUGGGUUCGAUUCCCACCGUCCGCACCA
Molecule: transfer RNA, 87 nt
Filed under: Hyphomicrobium sp.
Lineage: Bacteria; Pseudomonadati; Pseudomonadota; Alphaproteobacteria; Hyphomicrobiales; Hyphomicrobiaceae
Also listed under: 4 other names
Description: tRNA-Leu
Rfam family: tRNA
About the family: Transfer RNA (tRNA) molecules are approximately 80 nucleotides in length.
Source: RNAcentral